This is a long non-coding RNA of Gorilla gorilla gorilla (western lowland gorilla), 1032 nucleotides long. RefSeq lists it as uncharacterized. The record is from RefSeq and is a predicted model, not a curated record. NCBI's taxonomy places the organism in Eukaryota, Metazoa, Chordata, Mammalia, Primates, Hominidae. The transcript has 4 exons.
UAAAAGUAAUUCCCCAACUCUAGCCUAACUCCCAAAAGUCCAAACUAAGAAACUCAACGCAUGACAUUCCCUCAGGCAGAAGGAUUGGUUCCAAAUGGGACUAUGACCCAAUUUGUUGCAAUAAAACAUAAGGGAGAGUUUCAGGGGGCUAAUUAGGGAGAGACUCUGUUGCUCUUUGAGAGCUAGUGGAGAAGACACUCUUCCUCUGGUCUGCAUAGGAUGUAGAUGUGAAUGCUGGAACUGCAGCGGUUACUUUGCCAUUAUGAAAAGAGCUGGCUUGAUAAUGAAGCCAAUAUACUGAGAAGAGCAGAACUGGGAGAGUCAUCACAGAGAAAGAGAUCUGACUGAAGUCCUUUCUCCAGGAGAGUAGGGCUUCGUUAUAAGAACACUCUGGGCUUGUUUCACAAGGGUUACUCUUCCCCUCCCCUUGCCGGGUCUGCAGGGGAAUUUUCUCAAAUCAUUAUUAGGAGAACCUGGUGGGUUUCCUGAAGGGCAAGCCUAUAAAUGUGAGACUGAAGUGUCCAAGUGUUUCUUACUCUCAAGGUAAGCAGACCUCUCCUGUGAUGUUCUGGAUAUGCCUGUCUCAACAGAUUUCAGGGUGGCCGUCUUCUCUGCAAAUUCAGUUCUCUGAUGUGUCCAAGGGUCUUGUUCAAGCAAUCCUCAUGCCUCCUGAGUAGCUGGGACUACAGGUGUGCACCACCACACCCAGUUCCAGGGACUAAAUCUUGAAACAAACCAGUUGAUUGUGGAUUUCUCCCCUACCUGGAAAUUACCUCAAGGCUAGAGUUAAUUUACAACCCAGCUGUAACCAAGACUUUGCCAGCCCAUUCACCAGAUGGAACAAAAACUCAAGAUGGUCGUCAGAACAAGUCACAUAGACCAGCACCUCCUUGGCCACUCCUGCAUGCCCCUCAAGCCAAGUUUUCCUUUCUUAUCCUCUAUACUCAGCCCAAAAGUUGAAAUGGUUUAUUCAAGGUAUGAGCCUGGCCAUUUCCUCAAUUGCUAGCUUUUGCAAUUAAAGUCACGGUCCUU